RNAcentral lists this ribosomal RNA (301 nucleotides) under uncultured bacterium. Its description in RNAcentral is "partial 16S ribosomal RNA". It matches the Rfam family "Bacterial small subunit ribosomal RNA", at positions 509 to 807 of the family's 1533-position model. The record is from RNAcentral.
CAGCCGCCGCGGGAAUACGUAGGGUGCAAGCGUUAAUCGGAAUUACUGGGCGUAAAGCGUGCGCAGGCGGUUCGUUAAGACAGAUGUGAAAUCCCCGGGCUUAACCUGGGAACUGCAUUUGUGACUGGCGGGCUAGAGUAUGGCAGAGGGGGGUAGAAUUCCACGUGUAGCAGUGAAAUGCGUAGAGAUGUGGAGGAAUACCGAUGGCGAAGGCAGCCCCCUGGGCCAAUACUGACGCUCAUGCACGAAAGCGUGGGGAGCAAACAGGAUUAGAUACCCGCGUAGUCCCUGUCUCUUAUAC